RNAcentral lists this ribosomal RNA (398 nucleotides) under uncultured bacterium. RNAcentral's name for it is "partial 16S ribosomal RNA". It matches the Rfam family "Bacterial small subunit ribosomal RNA", at positions 523 to 918 of the family's 1533-position model. The record is from RNAcentral.
AUACGUAGGGUGCGAGCGUUGUCCGGAAUUACUGGGCGUAAGGAGCUCGUAGGUGGUUUGUCGCGUCGUCUGUGAAAUUCCGGGGCUUAACUCCGGGCGUGCAGGCGAUACGGGCAUAACUUGAGUACUGUAGGGGAGACUGGAAUUCCUGGUGUAGCGGUGAAAUGCGCAGAUAUCAGGGGGAACACCGGGGGCGAGGGCGGUUCUCUGGGCGGUAACUGACGCGGAGGAGCGAAAGCAGGGGUAGCGAACAGGAUUAGAUCCCCUGGUAGUCCAUGCCGUAAACGGUGGUCGCAAGGUGUAGGGGCUUUCCACGACUUCUGUGCCGUAGCUAACGCAUUAAGCGCCCCGCCUGGGGAGUACGGCCGCAAGGCUGAAACUCAAAGGAAUUGACGGGG